UCAUAUCCUGGGGCUGAAGAAGGUCCCAAGGGUUCGGCUGUUCGCCGAAUAAAAUGGUACCUGAGUUGAGUUUAGAACGUCGUGAGACAGUUUGGAUUCUACCUGGGGUGCGCGUAAAAGAAUUGUGAAAACCACGUCCUUGUACGAGAGGACCGGACGUGUACAACCACUGGUCGAGUAAUUGUUUUGCCGAAAGCAUUGUUACCAGGCUACGUUGUGACAGGAAAAGAACUGAAAGCAUCUCAAGUUCGAAACUUUUUUCGAGACAAAUUCUUUAAAAUGUCGUGAAAGAUUAUCACGUUAAUAGCCGAGCUGUCUAUA
RNAcentral lists this ribosomal RNA (321 nucleotides) under uncultured Micromonas. Its description in RNAcentral is "partial Bacterial large subunit ribosomal RNA". It matches the Rfam family "Bacterial large subunit ribosomal RNA", at positions 2540 to 2873 of the family's 2925-position model. Lineage: Eukaryota; Viridiplantae; Chlorophyta; Mamiellophyceae; Mamiellales. The record is from RNAcentral.